UCCUCAGAUGGUCUUCCUUGAGGCAUCCACAUCUGUUGUCAGUGAGGAUAGCCUGGUUGCUCCAGGUGCUUGUGAUCAGAGGUUCAGAGGACUCAGGGCUGAGCCAUGGCAAACAAGCACCAUCAGAAGGUAUUAGGGUGUCUGACUACCCCAAGAAGUUCAAGCUUGAAGCUAGCUCCACUCCCGAGGGCUUUUGACACAUCCUGGGAGAUGAGGGAACCUGGGCCACUGGAUGCCAUCAACCUCACCACCAAGCCGGUUGCCUCCUACUUCGAGGACUACACAGUGUCAAACCCAUAGCGACCAUGGCGCAGGACAUGGGUGUACAGGGAUGUGCAGCACAGCUUCAAAAGGCAGUGCGGGCCCCAGUACCCAGGAACUUGCCCAACCACACUGAGUCUGAAAAUGAAAUACACAGCCUCCAGCGACUGGAUGAAAACACACAAUAACUCCUUUCUCUCAAGGAGAGUUUCAAGAGACUUCAGCUUGGGUUGCCCAAGUCAUUUGACUGGAAGAUUUGUCUAUGUGCACUAAAGGAGAAUCUGGCCCUACUGUGUGUACCUGGACCUUUUGGGUUUGACUCUUGAUUUGCUUUUUUGGGUGUUCACUGGCCUGAGGACUGCUGUGUGUGGUGGCUGUAAAUAAAUGGAGCUUGACUUCAAAAAAAAAAAAAAA
This is a long non-coding RNA of Rattus norvegicus (Norway rat), 675 nucleotides long. RefSeq lists it as uncharacterized. The record is from RefSeq and is a predicted model, not a curated record. Lineage: Eukaryota; Metazoa; Chordata; Mammalia; Rodentia; Muridae.